CCGCGCGCCCGGCUCCGGCCGGAGCGAUCCGGGCCGCCGCGCCCGGCUGGGGGCGCGGUGCCCGCGGGGGUGUACGUCUGUCCGUCCGUCCGUCCGUCCGUCCGUCCGCGCCCCGCCCCUGCGGUGGCUCCCAGCUCGCUGGGCUCAGCCGUCGUGCCCGACCGACGCACGGAGCGUGGCCGUGGCUGCUGCGCUGCGGCCUCGGGGCUGGCGGCCGGGGAGGGAGGGCCGGGAUGGAGGCGCUCUGCGGUCCGGGCUUAACACCUGAGGAAACUGGUGGAAAAGUUUGAGAAAGCGAAGUCCAAUCGUCUUGCAGCUUCCACCCUCCCGGUGACACCGCGGCCACGGGAAGGAGCGGGCAGUGUCCACAUCUCUGACGGAGCCCCGCCGCCCAGGCCCGUGCUGCCCACCGGCCCGGGCUGCUGCCCUGACUCGGCGGUGCGCGCGACCCUGCCUGCUGGCGCGCGCACGGGCCGUGCCUCGCCUCCGGCUUCCGCUCCACGCAUCCCAGGUCGCUGUCACCGUCCCCACGGUCUGGGUCUCCUCCUCUGCCUCCACACUUGCAGCCCGCGAGGACGCAUAUCAGUCAGCCUUAAGAGCCAAGUUGGCCUGGAGGUGGUGGCCUCCCUCUGGGAGGGCUUUCCUACUAGGCCGGGAUGUUUCCUGCUGGCUAACUUUCUGGGUCUGGUUUCUAUAACCUGACCUCUUCCUCCUGCCCUGCCUCUCCCUCACUUGGUUUUGAAUUACUGCAGAAAGGUUACUUAGUACCUUUCUACCUCUUUUCUAGCCUGGGAGGCUGUAGGUGACAGCAGGCGGCCCUCAAUCCCCCACUCCACCCCCAGGCAAGCCCCUGAGGCCUAAGGCCUGGUUAGAAAUCACGGGGGACAGGGGGUGCUGUAGCAUAGGGAGCCGCUAGCUGUUAGACCUGAACUUGGAGGCUUCUGGAGGGCUGUUCGGGGCCCCACCCCUGCAUCCCAGUGGGGAGAGGGCUUUGCCAGUGAACCUCUGUUUUUCUCCUGUGAUGUCUGAUCUGGAGCUCUGCUCUCCUUGGCUGUAAACGCAGUGCUACUAUCUUGUAGGAAGCACAGUAGUGUCAUGAUUGAUAAAUAAUAAAUAAUAAUAAUCUACUGAGGGCUGCAGGAGGAUUGUCACUGACAAGGAAUGAGGACACCAGGGAAUUGUCCCACUGGUGUUACAGUAAGUGCAUUUCCGGGGAGGGGGUCCAGAUGGAUGUUUGGUGCCUGGAGCCAGGGAUGAGGAGACCGGCAGAGGAGGGGACAGAGCAGAAGACUGUAUGUUAGGAGAGCAACACCAGUGCUUCACAGAGGGACAGGGUGGGAGUUGGGGUGAGGGGAGGAAAACUCCCAAGGGAUCUGCAGCACCCAAAGGGGCGUGAAUAAUGCAGCCGGCAUGCUCAGUGCGUGAGGUGGUGAGGAGCGGUGUUAGAAGGUAGUAAACUGGAAUUACUCAGGAUUUAAACAAGAUACACAGGUAUAUUGCCAGCCACUCAGUGCAAAGAGGAGAACAAAGCCACAGGCGAGAGUCACUCCUGGAGACAGCUGUCCUCUGAGCUGAUCUGCAUGGAUCCACCAACUGUGAAAGUGCAGGGAUCCCCUGGCUGCAUUCUGAGCGGCCUCCUGGUUGACAGCUGUGGGCAUUAGGAAACUGUGGGCCAGCCUUGCGAGUCUGCAGUAGGGUGAGAUCCAGCAAUUCAAGACACUCAUCUGUCUGAAGAUAUUUUGACUGAUUUUCCAAUGAAAGGCGGGAAUACACCCUCCAAGCACCUUCCCAGGCUGCUGUCUAGGUGAAGAUGGAAGAACUCUCCCACUUGCCCUGCUGGCAUUAUCAGAGAAGACAGACAUGCAGAAUCCUCAUUCGGAGGACUUCCUCUGCCUGUGGUGGGGCUGAGGUUAUGGGGUCUGCAGUGUAGCAAAAUCUCCAGGUUUGGAGCUUGCUGAUUGCGCACUGGGGGUGUCAGCUUGUCAGGAAGGAAGAGAAAAGCUGUGUGAAUUAGAAUCACAGUAGGCUUGUUUUCUCUCUCGUUGCCCUCCCUACCCUCUUUUCAUCCCCAGAGCCUGAAUGCACAGAGGAUUUCUAAAGUCACAUACUUCCAUGUGGUUCUGUCCAGGAAGGAGCUGAUUGGUGGGAACUCUUACCAUUUGUGAAAGGUAUUUUUUGGUCUGCACUUGAGGUCUAUGCAUCUGGAGCAUUGUGGCUCAUGUCUGUCUCCACGCAUGCAGGCAUUUGGUGACAUUAACUGGACCUGUGCUGUGAGUGAACUCUCUUUUCUCUCUCCCUAGGAUGUCUGGAUUUCUUUUGGGGUUACUGCUUCUCCAGGUCUGUGCCCCAUGGAUCUCUGCAUGGCGUAUCAGACUUGAUGGGUAUUGCUUAUAGGAAUCUCUUCCUCAGGGUCAAAGAUUCCUCCAGAAAGCGCAAGAUCAGCCUGUGGAGUGGCCAGAGGCUAGCCCUCCCUUAUCCUGAGCCCCAGGCUGGAGUCUGCGAUCAAGACUUCUGUGUACGCUAUGAGAAGAUAGGUUAUGAAGGAGGAGGCUUAUCAUGCACAGUGAAGUAUCCUGGAAUGCUCCAGAACAUCCAUUCCCUGCUCAGAGAAUAGGCCAUAUUUAUAGGGUCAAGCAGGCAAGGGAUUUGCAAUGCAAAGGCCUUCCUGUCAUCGAGAGGGAGCCUCGUGAGGGUGCUAUGCAUGUGCCUGCUGGGGCCAAAGUGGACCUCUCCCCUCAUUCACAUUUAUAGCAAUAACCACAACCAUAUGGUCUCUUACCCUGUGGCUACUGCACGCCGAACACUGGCAGGUACUCUUAUUCACAACAUCUUGUCAAUCGCCCCAGUAAUCUGCAGGAUCAAUACAAUCAGCUCCCCAAACUGAGCUCCAGGAAAGGCCAGUGAGCUCCUACAGUCACCCAGGGAGCAGGUGCCGAGCUGGACUCUGAGCCUGGUGAUUCCAAAGCCUGUCUUUCUCCUACACUUAAGCUGGUCCUGGAUCCACAACUGGAAAUCAGUCUUAGAAUACAGAGAACCCCUGCAAAGGAGGGGUGAGCGUCCCUGUGAUUACGGAAGGCACAGGUCAUUUGAAAGAGUGGACGUUUCAUCAGGCGCUGUUGGGUUUGGCAGGACAUCUGUUUCCGGGAGCACAGUGCAUGAAAGCAGAGAAGCUCCCAACCUCUGUGCUGGUCUGGGUUUUGUGUUUGCUGCUUUGUUUGUUUAAUGCUGUGCUCCACUAACGCCACCCUCCACCCUCUUUGGCAUCAAAAGCAUUAAUAAACCCUGCAUAACCCA
Long non-coding RNA from Cavia porcellus (domestic guinea pig), 3294 nucleotides. RefSeq lists it as uncharacterized. The transcript is spliced from 2 exons. The record is from RefSeq and is a predicted model, not a curated record. NCBI's taxonomy places the organism in Eukaryota, Metazoa, Chordata, Mammalia, Rodentia, Caviidae.